Molecule: ribosomal RNA, 253 nt
Filed under: uncultured bacterium
Lineage: Bacteria
Description: partial 16S ribosomal RNA
Rfam family: Bacterial small subunit ribosomal RNA
Source: RNAcentral
UACGUAGGAUGCAAGCGUUGUUCGGAAUUACUGGGCGUAAAGAGUACGUAGGCGGUUUGGUAAGUCUGAUAUUAAAGACCGGAGCUCAACUUCGGGGCUGUAUCGGAAACUGUCAGACUAGAGGAUAAUAGAGGAAGUCGGAAUUCUCAGUGUAGCGGUGAAAUGCGUAGAUAUUGGGAAGAACACCAGUGGCGAAAGCGGACUUCUGGGUUAUUACUGACGCUGAGGUACGAAAGCGUGGGGAGCAAACGGG